This 157-nucleotide ribosomal RNA is filed under the name uncultured Ascomycota. RNAcentral describes it as "5.8S ribosomal RNA". It matches the Rfam family "5.8S ribosomal RNA". Rfam says of the family: 5.8S ribosomal RNA (5.8S rRNA) is a component of the large subunit of the eukaryotic ribosome. It is transcribed by RNA polymerase I as part of the 45S precursor that also contains 18S and 28S rRNA. Functionally, it is thought that 5.8S rRNA may be involved in ribosome translocation. RNAcentral also lists the same sequence under 1 other name. Lineage: Eukaryota; Fungi; Ascomycota. The record is from RNAcentral.
AAACUUUCAACAACGGAUCUCUUGGUUCUGGCAUCGAUGAAGAACGCAGCGAAAUGCGAUAAGUAAUGUGAAUUGCAGAAUUCAGUGAAUCAUCGAAUCUUUGAACGCACAUUGCGCUCCUUGGUAUUCCGAGGAGCAUGCCUGUUCGAGCGUCAUU